CACACUCUCGUUUUGGCUUUCUCUUUCCUUCACACACUCUCGUGCUUCCUGCCAUUGGCGACCUCCGCCAUUGACGACUUCCAGAUCUAGAUGCACCCCAACACUCAAUGUCGCAGCCAGAACCGGAUCCACCAAGACCUAGAUCGAAUUUCCUGUUAUGCUGUUCUUCAUCGGAUCUUUAGGGAAGGCCACCCAUCCGCAUUACAAAGGGAAUGAAUAGAUCAAGAUCUGGUUUUCAUGCGCAAGCGGCAUUCAGUGGUUAUGCAUCUGUUGGGCAUAGUGCUUUAUUCGACAACAAUGAUUGCCAGCUAGAGAUGGGUACAACAGGUUAUGUAUCUCUGUUGUAGCAACAACAGGUUAUGUAUCUCUGUUGUAGCGUUAUUUUAAUGUAAAUACAGAAUUAUUAUGUUCCAUUUUUUUCCUUCGUUAUCGUAUUUAAGUAAAAGAUUCUAAGACUUCAGAAUUUAUGUUAUACUUUUUAUAAUUUCAUAGGUUCCUCUGCCAAUUUUUCUUUCCAAGAAUUGUUAAGAGAGGCCAGUGCUGGCAAAAUUGCAGGGAGGUCAACUUCAAAAUGAUUUGAGUGGAAGACAUGGGGGACAAUGUUGGGGACUAUUGACUCUUAUAGUCGAUUUACAAACUCGGAAGACACGAAGUUGCGAUAUGGCGUUGAUGGAUACCCAGAGGAGUGUACAUCGCAAAGGACUUUUUUGUCUAUAGACAUAGACAAGGAGAUUGAAAUGGAAGAACGAUUAUAUCAAGAGCUUGCUACAUUGAAUCCUUUUAAUGAAAAUAGAGAAAUGGAAGAACACGUUGAUUGGGAAGAGGAAGAAUAUGCUGAUUGGGAAGAACAAGUUCAAACGACUGUGGAAGGCUAUUACAAUGUAGCAAAUUUUGAGAUACAGAGAAAGCCCAAUCAAGAAUUAAUAAACAGUACUAUGAGGAUAUCUUUGCCAGGCAUGUAUGGAUUCAAGGGGUCGCCAAAGAACAUUCAUGAAACAAACGGAACAAUCCAAAUAAGAAAUGACUCGACGGAUGAAUCAGAUAUUGCAAAUUGUCAGGUAGAGGAGAGAGGAUACAACUGAAGGAUGCAGUGCCAAAUACAUGGUGAAGGUCAACAACAUUGACUUUGAUGCAACUCAUCUAAACCAUAGCGAAAUAUUUGGGCUAUCACCAUUUGCUUUGGACUUGUCACAUCCGGAUGCUCCAUUCGAAUGUGUGGCGUCGCUGUACAAUGCACUGAAGAAUUUACCAGAUUCAGAUAAAGACAGGAUUCAGUGCUCCAAAAUAAUAGAUUGGACUGCACUGCGAUGCUUGAGGAAAUGUUUGCUGGCUACCAUAUAACCUACAAUAUUGCUAAAUGCAGAAUGAUACGGGCUCCAGUAUACAUUGAUUGGGACUGGUCACUGUAUGUUUGGAAUUUUGAGCGAGGGACUGUUGUAGUCAUAGAUCCUGUGAAUACGGUAGCAGGAAGAGAAGUGUUAAUGGAGAAACAUGAACCCAUAGUGCACAAGUUGCACAAAGCAAUGCAGAAAUGCAAAGAAGAAUAUUUCAAAGAUCCUGAUGUAGACAUGGAAGAUUGGACAAGGGACUACAUAUCCAUACAAGGCGCAAACUGUGGCAGCACUUGCUCUGGAUUGUACACUAUGUUCUAUGCACGCUAUUUUGACGGCCAAAUGUUAACAAGAAUAGUCACUCCUGAAUCACAAAACAUGCACAAGUUUAAUAUACUACACCAGCUCCUGAGUUUGGCCCAGAACAAUGCAAGCCUGCCUCCGAUUCUAAAAGCAGCGCUUCAAAUGGAAGUUGAAGAAUAGUUUGGAAGAAAGUGCAAUUGCGAAAAAACCAUGAAUCCUAUUUGUCGUAUGUUUAAUUAUAAUGUCCUUAGUAGUGAUACUGUGUAAUCAGCUGUGUUAGCUCGAAUGGCACGAAUUUAUUUUGCAUUUCAAAAUUCGAAACUGAAGGCCGAGAACAUGAUAUAUGUAUUUAGUGAACUGCUUGGAAGAACAUUA
Molecule: long non-coding RNA, 2009 nt
Organism: Panicum virgatum (switchgrass)
Lineage: Eukaryota; Viridiplantae; Streptophyta; Magnoliopsida; Poales; Poaceae
Exons: 10
Source: RefSeq, a predicted model, not a curated record